GACGAACGCUGGCGGCGUGCUUAACACAUGCAAGUCGAACGGAAAGGCCCUGCUUUUGUGGGGUGCUCGAGUGGCGAACGGGUGAGUAACACGUGAGUAACCUGCCCUUGACUAUGGGAUAACUUCAGGAAACUGGGGCUAAUACCGGAUCGGAGCUCCUGCUGCAUGGUGGGGGUUGGAAAGUUUCGGCGGUUGGGGAUGGACUCGCGGCUUAUCAGCUUGUUGGUGGGGGAGUGGCUUACCAAGGCUUUGACGGGUAGCCGGCCUGAGAGGGUGACCGGCCACAUUGGGACUGAGAUGCGGCGCAGACUCCUACGGGAGGCAGCAGUGGGGAAUAUUGCACAAUGGGCGGAAGCCUGAUGCAGCAACGCCGCGUGCGGGAUGACGGCCUUCGGGUUGUAAACCGCUUUCGCCUGUGACGAAGCGUGAGUGACGGUAAUGGGUAAAGAAGCACCGGCUAACUACGUG
Molecule: ribosomal RNA, 468 nt
Filed under: uncultured bacterium
Lineage: Bacteria
Description: partial 16S ribosomal RNA
Rfam family: Bacterial small subunit ribosomal RNA
Source: RNAcentral